GGGGGUGAAUUUAGGUUCGACACGGAUAGGAUGAGCAGUAGUAGCGAGCCGAGGUCUCCUGUGCCUCGUUAAACAGCGGGAACCUAAAUUUAAGAGCAAACGAUAAUUACGCUCUCGCUGCUGCCUAACUAGGCGGUAGCCAUCCGAACCGGUUUGGCCUACGGGCCGGCUAGGGUGUCAUUUGCAGUAGGCUUGCUGACUAGUGUUGCCCAUGGCUAGUUCAGGACACUUAAUGGGAUAGUUGCUCCAAGGAUCCUGCCUCUAGGAGCCGGAGCGAUGAAGCUGAAAUAUAGAGGAUACGCUCGUAGAAGCUAUUGUGGGUUCAUCCGUGGACAGCGGUGCAAAUCCGCUCACCUCCACCA
This 362-nucleotide transfer-messenger RNA is filed under the name Limnochordia. RNAcentral describes it as "JAAYGB01 sp012727955 Standard tmRNA". It matches the Rfam family "transfer-messenger RNA". Rfam says of the family: Bacterial tmRNA, also known as 10Sa RNA or SsrA, is named for its dual tRNA and mRNA-like properties. Its role is to liberate the mRNA from a stalled ribosome. The record is from RNAcentral. Lineage: Bacteria; Bacillati; Bacillota. RNAcentral also lists the same sequence under 1 other name.